Molecule: ribosomal RNA, 429 nt
Filed under: Gemmatimonadota bacterium
Lineage: Bacteria; Pseudomonadati; Gemmatimonadota
Description: Gemmatimonadetes bacterium partial 16S ribosomal RNA
Rfam family: Bacterial small subunit ribosomal RNA
Source: RNAcentral
UAGGGAAUCUUCGGCAAUGGACGAAAGUCUGACCGAGCAACGCCGCGUGAGUGAAGAGGGUUUUCGGAUCGUAAAACUCUGUUGUUAGAGAAGAACAAGGACGUUAGUAACUGAACGUCCCCUGACGGUAUCUAACCAGAAAGCCACGGCUAACUACGUGCCAGCAGCCGCGGUAAUACGUAGGUGGCAAGCGUUGUCCGGAUCUAUUGGGCGUAAAGCGAGCGCAGGCGGUUUCUUAAGUCUGAUGUGAAAGCCCCCGGCUCAACCGGGGAGGGUCAUUGGAAACUGGGAGACUUGAGUGCAGAAGAGGAGAGUGGAAUUCCAUGUGUAGCGGUGAAAUGCGUAGCUAUAUGGAGGAACACCAGUGGCGAAGGCGGCUCUCUGGUCUGUAACUGACGCUGAGGCUCGAAAGCGUGGGGAGCAAACAGG